AGAGUUUGAUCCUGGCUCAGGACGAACGCUGGCGGCGUGCUUAACACAUGCAAGUCGAGCGAUGAAGCUUCCUUCGGGAAGUGGAUUAGCGGCGGACGGGUGAGUAACACGUGGGUAACCUGCCUCAAAGUGGGGGAUAGCCUUCCGAAAGGAAGAUUAAUACCGCAUAACAUAAGAGAAUCGCAUGAUUUUCUUAUCAAAGAUUUAUUGCUUUGAGAUGGACCCGCGGCGCAUUAGCUAGUUGGUAAGGUAACGGCUUACCAAGGCAACGAUGCGUAGCCGACCUGAGAGGGUGAUCGGCCACAUUGGAACUGAGACACGGUCCAGACUCCUACGGGAGGCAGCAGUGGGGAAUAUUGCGCAAUGGGGGAAACCCUAGACCGCARCACACCGCCCGCGUGGGUUGAUGAAKGUYUUUCGRAUUGUAAAGCCCUGUUUUUCUGGGACGAUAAUGACGGUACCAGAGGGAGGAAGCCACGGCUAACUACGUGCCAGCAGCCGCGGUAAUACGUAGGUGGCGAAGCGUUGUCCGGGAUUUACUGGGCGUAAAGGGUGCGUAGGCGGAUGUUUAAGUGGGAUGUGAAAUCCCCGGGCUUAACCUGGGGGCUGCAUUCCAAACUGGAUAUCUAGAGUGCAGGAGAGGAAAGCGGAAUUCCUAGUGUAGCGGUGAAAUGCGUAGAGAUUAGGAAGAACACCAGUGGCGAAGGCGGCUUUCUGGACUGUAACUGACGCUGAGGCACGAAAGCGUGGGUAGCAAACAGGAUUAGAUACCCUGGUAGUCCACGCCGUAAACGAUGGAUACUAGGUGUAGGGGGUAUCAACUCCCCCUGUGCCGCAGUUAACACAAUAAGUAUCCCGCCUGGGGAGUACGGUCGCAAGAUUAAAACUCAAAGGAAUUGACGGGGGCCCGCACAAGCAGCGGAGCAUGUGGUUUAAUUCGAAGCAACGCGAAGAACCUUACCUGGACUUGACAUCCCUUGCAUAGCCUAGAGAUAGGUGAAGCCCUUCGGGGCAAGGAGACAGGUGGUGCAUGGUUGUCGUCAGCUCGUGUCGUGAGAAUGUUAGGUUAAGUCCUGCAACGAGCGCAACCCUUGUUAUUAAGUUGCUACCAUUAAGUUGAGCCACUYUUAWUGAGAACUGCCUGGKUAACCAGGAGGAAGGUGGGGAUGACGUCAAAUCAUCAUGCCCCUUAUGUCCAGGGCUACACACGUGCUACAAUGGUAGGUACAAUAAGACGCAAGACCGUGAGGUGGAGCAAAACUUAUAAAACCUAUCUCAGUUCGGAUUGUAGGCUGCAACUCGCCUACAUGAAGCUGGAGUUGCUAGUAAUCGCGAAUCAGAAUGUCGCGGUGAAUACGUUCCCGGGCCUUGUACACACCGCCCGUCACACCAUGAGAGCUGAUAACACCCGAAGUCCGUGAGGUAACCGUAAGGAGCCAGCGGCCGAAGGUGGGAUUAGUGAUUGGGGUGAAGUCGUAACAAGGUAGCC
Molecule: ribosomal RNA, 1489 nt
Filed under: Clostridium sporogenes
Lineage: Bacteria; Bacillati; Bacillota; Clostridia; Eubacteriales; Clostridiaceae
Description: bacterial SSU rRNA
Rfam family: Bacterial small subunit ribosomal RNA
Source: RNAcentral